Molecule: ribosomal RNA, 397 nt
Filed under: uncultured bacterium
Lineage: Bacteria
Description: partial 16S ribosomal RNA
Rfam family: Bacterial small subunit ribosomal RNA
Source: RNAcentral
AUACGUAGGUGGCGAGCGUUGUCCGGAAUUACUGGGCGUAAAGGAUGCGUAGGUGGAUAUUUAAGUGGGAUGUGAAAUCCCCGGGCUCAACCCGGGAACUGCAUUCCAAACUGGGUAUCUAGAGUGCAGGAGAGGAAAGCGGAAUUCCUAGUGUAGCGGUGAAAUGCGUAGAUAUUAGGAGGAACACCAGUGGCGAAGGCGGCUUUCUGGACUGUAACUGACACUGAGGCAUGAAAGCGUGGGUAGCAAACAGGAUUAGAUCCCCUGGUAGUCCACGCCGUAAACGAUGGGUACUAGGUGUAGGAGGUAUCGACCCCUUCUGUGCCGUCGUUAACACAAUAAGUACCCCGCCUGGGGAGUACGGUCGCAAGACUAAAACUCAAAGGAAUUGACGGGG